UCGGAUUGUAGUCUGCAACCCGACUACAUGAAGCUGGAAUCGCUAGUAAUCGCGGAUCAGAAUGCCGCGGUGAAUACGUUCCCGGGUCUUGUACACACCGCCCGUCACACCAUGGGAGUCGGAAAUGCCCGAAGCCGGUGACUCAACCUUUAAGGAGAGAGCCGUCGAAGGCAGGUCUGAUAACUGGGGUGAAGUCGUAACAAGGUAUC
This 209-nucleotide ribosomal RNA is filed under the name uncultured bacterium. RNAcentral describes it as "partial 16S ribosomal RNA". It matches the Rfam family "Bacterial small subunit ribosomal RNA", at positions 1293 to 1500 of the family's 1533-position model. The record is from RNAcentral.